This 621-nucleotide ribosomal RNA is filed under the name Klebsiella oxytoca. Its description in RNAcentral is "bacterial SSU rRNA". It matches the Rfam family "Bacterial small subunit ribosomal RNA", at positions 46 to 661 of the family's 1533-position model. Lineage: Bacteria; Pseudomonadati; Pseudomonadota; Gammaproteobacteria; Enterobacterales; Enterobacteriaceae. The record is from RNAcentral.
GCCUACCAUGCAGUCGAACGGUAGCACAGAGAGCUUGCUCUCGGGUGACGAGUGGCGGACGGGUGAGUAAUGUCUGGGAAACUGCCUGAUGGAGGGGGAUAACUACUGGAAACGGUAGCUAAUACCGCAUAACGUCGCAAGACCAAAGAGGGGGACCUUCGGGCCUCUUGCCAUCAGAGGUGCCCAGAUGGGAAAUAGCUAGUAGGUGGGGUAACGGCUCACCUAGGCGACGAUCCCUAGCUGGUCUGAGAGGAUGACCAGCCACACUGGAACUGAGACACGGUCCAGACUCCUACGGGAGGCAGCGUGGGGAAUAUUGCACAAUGGGCGCAAGCCUGAUGCAGCCAUGCCGCGUGUAUGAAGAAGGCCUUCGGGUUGUAAAGUACUUUCAGCGGGGAGGAAGGCGAUAAGGUUAAUAACCUUGUCGAUUGACGUUACCCRCAGAAGAAGCACCGGCUAACUCCGUGCCAGCAGCCGCGGUAAUACGGAGGGUGCAAGCGUUAAUCGGAAUUACUGGGCGUAAGCGCACGCAGGCGGUCUGUCAAGUCGGAUGUGAAAUCCCCGGGCUCAACCUGGGAACUGCAUUCGAAACUGGCAGGCUGGAGUYUUUGUAGAGGGGGG